AUUGAACGCUGGCGGCAGGCCUAACACAUGCAAGUCGAACGAGUGGCGGACGGGUGAGUAAUGUCUGGGAAACUGCCCGAUGGAGGGGGAUAACUACUGGAAACGGUAGCUAAUACCGCAUACCAUCAGAUGUGCCCAGAUGGGAUUAGCUAGUAGGUGGGUUAACGGCUCACCAAGGCGACGAUCCCUAGCUGGUCUGAGAGGAUGACCAGCCACACUGGAACUGAGACAAGGUCCAGACUCUUACGGGAGGCAGCAGUGGGGAAUAUUGCACAAUGGACGCAAGCCUGAUGCAGCCAUGCCGCGUGUAUGAAGAAGGCCUUCGGGUUGUAAAGUACUUGCAGCGGGGAGGCGUUACCCGCAGAAGAAGCACCGGCUAACUCCGUGCCAGCAGCCGCGGUAAGAC
Molecule: ribosomal RNA, 406 nt
Filed under: uncultured bacterium
Lineage: Bacteria
Description: partial 16S ribosomal RNA
Rfam family: Bacterial small subunit ribosomal RNA
Source: RNAcentral